GUCCCUAAGCUGAGUAGUGAGGGAUUUGAUCGCUUGGUGGUGUUUGGUAUUAUGAAUGCUCGUGGUGCCAGACUCAUCGGCUUGACUCAACGAGUCAUCGCCGGGUUGCUUCGUUCGAGGUAUACACGUCAGCAUUUUUCAAUUAUGAAUCAGUUUGGCUUGAGAGUCGCACCGCUAAAAACGAGAUGCUCCUAAAACGCAGUGGCCAUGCAGUGCUUGAAUGCCCGCUUCAGGUAACGCGAUCAGAGAUUCUCUGCGCUCAAAUUUGUAUGAAUUACAUGAAUAAACAAACAGAAGGAGAUGAUUAUGAUUAUUAUUAAGAGGGGAAAAAAGGAAAAAGAAAUUGGUCAAAAGGAUCGAAAUGGGAAAGAAGAAUCUUUUUGUCCUUUUCAGCUGAGCUUUGGUGUUGGCUAAUCGCUACAAUGGGGAUAGUAGUAGCAGCAGUUUUUG
Molecule: unclassified non-coding RNA, 450 nt
Filed under: Hevea brasiliensis (rubber tree)
Lineage: Eukaryota; Viridiplantae; Streptophyta; Magnoliopsida; Malpighiales; Euphorbiaceae
Source: RNAcentral